RNAcentral lists this unclassified non-coding RNA (567 nucleotides) under Hevea brasiliensis (rubber tree). Lineage: Eukaryota; Viridiplantae; Streptophyta; Magnoliopsida; Malpighiales; Euphorbiaceae. The record is from RNAcentral.
CUAGGGUACGCUGCCUUCUCCUUUCUGUGUUUUCGCGUUACUUUAAGGCAAACCCAACAGAAAAGUGUUCGCCGCUCUGUUUUAAUUUUUAGUUUAGGAUAUGGCAGAAGAGGUAGAGUACCGUUGUUUUAUUGGUGGUCUUUCAUGGUCUACAUCUGAUAGAGGCCUGAAAGAGGCAUUUGAAAAGUUUGGUCAUCUUCUUGAGGCCAAGGUAGUUGUUGACAAGUUCUCUGGACGAUCUCGUGGAUUUGGAUUUGUCACUUUUGAUGAGAAGAAAGCAAUGGAAGAUGCUAUUGAAGCAAUGAAUGGAAUGGACUUAGAUGGGCGAACUAUUACUGUUGAUAAAGCCCAGCCUCACCAAGGUUCAGGCAGAGAUCAGGAUGGUGAUCGCAACCGUGAGCGUGGGAGGGAUCGUGAUCAGAACCGUGACCUUGGAGGCAGACGCACAGGUGGUGGUGGGGAGUGCUUUAAGUGUGGUAAGCCUGGACAUUUUGCUAGGGAGUGUCCAAGUGAAGGGGCAAGAGGAGGUCGGUAUGGGGGCAGAGAUGAGAGGUAUAGUGGCGGCGG